This 468-nucleotide ribosomal RNA is filed under the name uncultured bacterium. Its description in RNAcentral is "partial 16S ribosomal RNA". It matches the Rfam family "Bacterial small subunit ribosomal RNA", at positions 28 to 507 of the family's 1533-position model. The record is from RNAcentral.
GACGAACGCUGGCGGCGUGCUUAACACAUGCAAGUCGAACGGAAAGGCCCUGCUUUUGUGGGGUGCUCGAGUGGCGAACGGGUGAGUAACACGUGAGUAACCUGCCCUUGACUUUGGGAUAACUUCAGGAAACUGGGGCUAAUACCGGAUAGGAGCUCCUGCUGCAUGGUGGGGGUUGGAAAGUUUCGGCGGUUGGGGAUGGACUCGCGGCUUAUCAGCUUGUUGGUGGGGUAGUGGCUUACCAAGGCUUUGACGGGUAGCCGGCCUGAGAGGGUGACCGGCCACAUUGGAACUGAGAUACGACCCAGACUCCUACGGGAGGCAGCAGUGGGGAAUAUUGCACUAUGGACGGAAGCCUGAUGCAGCAACGCCGCGUGCGGGAUGACGGCCUUCGGUUUGUAAACCGCUUUCGCCUGUGACGAAGCGUAAGUGACGGUAAUGGAUAAAAAAGCACCGGCUAACUACGUG